Acanthosepion pharaonis is the source of this 110-nucleotide non-coding RNA. The record is from the annotation of a GenBank genome assembly. NCBI's taxonomy places the organism in Eukaryota, Metazoa, Mollusca, Cephalopoda, Sepiida, Sepiidae.
UGGCCAGAUCAUGGUGAAACACCAGUUCCUGUACGAUCACCAAAGUUAAGCAAUGUUGAGCCUGUUCAGUACCUAGAUGGAUGACUGCUUGGGAAUACCAGGUGCUGUAA